Molecule: transfer-messenger RNA, 351 nt
Filed under: Deltaproteobacteria bacterium
Lineage: Bacteria; Pseudomonadati; Myxococcota; Myxococcia
Also listed under: 1 other name
Rfam family: transfer-messenger RNA
About the family: Bacterial tmRNA, also known as 10Sa RNA or SsrA, is named for its dual tRNA and mRNA-like properties. Its role is to liberate the mRNA from a stalled ribosome.
Source: RNAcentral
GGGGGCGAACUGGUUUCGACGGGGGUGAGGAAACGAGAGAUGCGUGCCGGGGGUCCUGUUCACCUCGUAAAACGAGCAGGGCUGCUUAACUGCAGACGCUAACUUUGCACUCGCGGCCUAAUUGACCGCGACGCUUCACCUGCCUGCGCCCGUAGGGCGGGCUGAGGCGCCAUUUCUCGGGCUGGGUCCCCGUCAGCGCCGGCGGGGCGGGGGCCGAGAUCAAACGCCGGCUGGCCGCGCGAGAUCCCGCCCGUGGGAGCGAGCGCGGCGAGAUAAGUUCGCGGGCUACGCACGUAGAUUCGCUCGUGGAUGCACCUUCGGACGGGGGUUCGAUUCCCCCCGCCUCCACUU